UGAGUGUUGAGGAAACUCCUCUUGAGUUGC
RNAcentral lists this non-coding RNA (30 nucleotides) under Mus musculus (house mouse). Lineage: Eukaryota; Metazoa; Chordata; Mammalia; Rodentia; Muridae. The record is from RNAcentral.